AUCUUCUCUCUCAGAUUCUAAGGGUCCUCUUAACAAUUUUGGAUACAUCCAGUGAUCCACGAGCUCUUGCUGUCGCCUGCUUUGAUCUGUCACAGUUUAUCCAGUACCAUCCAGCUGGGCGGGUCAUUGUGACGGACCUCAAAGCCAAGGAACGGGUGAUGAAAUUGAUGAACCAUGAGAAUACCGAGGUUACCAAGAGCGCCUUACUCUGCAUCCAAAGGCUUUUCCUAGGCGCAAAGUACGCGAGCUUUUUGCAGGCCUGAAUUCUCUUUGCAUGGGGUCCAGUAUUGUUUACAAAGGAAAUGCUUGUAAUGAUUUGAUUCCAGUUUGGCUGUGGUUAGGUUGUUUAUUUAUUUAUCAAUCAUUGGAGGAAUUUAUGAAUCAGGGGAACUCGUCUGUUGGAUUUUUUUAAGUACUGUGAAGAAUUAGUUGAUUUUUUACCAUAUUUUGGAAAUUUAUUUUGUUUUUGAGAUGAGGAAUAAAUUGAUACCAUCUCUACUGACCUUUGAUAUGAAAACUACUCGAGCGCAUGAUGUAUAUCUGUUUUUGUUCAUUUCUGUAUCUUGCUGCUGACUGAAGCUGGAUUUUCAGGCUCGUUAUUAUCAUUUAUUCUUUUGAAGUUGCAAAAUGAAUUCUCAAUAUUUUCAGGGGAAAUGCUUAUAAUUAGCGCGGAGUUAAACAUUGAUUGUGUACUGUAGACUUCCAAAAGGCAAUUUAUUUCCAUUUAUUUGAGUAAACUAAAUCUCCGUGAUGGUAGCACUUAUUUAAUCACUUAUUAAAAAAUUCUUUGAAAAUUUGAUGAUUGUUGUUGAAAACAUUUACUAAUUGUAAAUGCGUUAAAUUACCCUUCCUUCUUCGUUUGCCGUCGUCACGAUGACCGGAAAAGGUACCCACCCCACUCCCUCUUUUGAUCAUCAUUUCGCAUACACUUUUCUUAAAUUUAAUUUUUUUUUAAAUUUUUUUCUCAUGUACCCUUGUGAUUCUUUUGCAUUCUUUAUUGGAUGUUAUUAAUUAUUAUUAAAAAAUUCUAAAAAAUAAAUAAAAAUCACGGCAGCUAGGAGUUGAAUGAAACUAUGGACUCUUUUUGAUAUUGUGGGAUUUGUGUCUGGGUGUGAGUGCACACAUUUUGAUCGGUAGCUAACUAAUGGAUGUCAUUUUUCCAUGUAUCAAUUUUCAGUUCAUAAUUUGUGUCUGAGUGUGAGUGCACAAAUUUUGAUCUGUAACUAAUUAAUGGAUAUCAUUGUUUAAAAUGUGAAAAAUUUAGUUUAUUCUAUGCUAGUUUUUCAUAACAUGAGUUGGACUGAGCUCAGUCAGUUGAUGCUCCAUGUUUUUGAUUCAUUGAAGGUACUAUGAAUUGGGACCUGAUGAUCCGCCAUAUGCUGCCAAGUUUUACGACUGCUGCGGGGCCGAGGAUGCUGAUGCCUCUGGUUGUACCACUGGCUUCCAUGUCUCUUAUGAUGAUGAUUAACAUAAUUUUUACCUCCUAAUCACCUGUAACUAUAGAUUAAAUUUGUAGAUAUCUCCGUGUCUCCUCCUGUGACCCACAUCAUUUCCACUGUUCUACCACUGUAUAAUUCAGGCCUUUCAUCAGUUUAUCUCUUCAUUUCUCAACAUUUUUCUUUUUUUUUUUUUCCUGGGGUUGAUCUGGCAUGAAUUCGACAUGUGCUGCUAUGGCCAACUUUCGAGGGAUGAUGGUAAAUCUAAACCCUUUUCCAUAAACUUCUGCAAUUAGUUGGUCUAGGGCAUUUGAAGAGCUUAUACUGGAAGCCAUUGCCUUCCCACAUCUUAAGUAAAGAGUAAUGCUACUUUGACAGAAAUAGGUUUACAAAAUUUUGACAUACUUAUGAAAUACUAAAUUACCUUUUAGUUUAUUUACAGAUAGCGAAUUGGGCUUUUUACAUAUUUUUGUAAGAAUCAACCUAAACUUAUAUUCAGGAAAGAAAUAACUGCAGAGGAGAAAAAAGUAAUGAGGCGAUAGAAAAUUAUGCCAAAAUUAAUAGUAAGGCAUUUGAGAUUGCAGUAGAACUUCUCAAUAAUCAUAUUAUUAGGAUCAAUUGAUUUUGUUACUAUAAGGAGGUUAAAACUUUGUAGAGGUUUAGUUCAAAAUUACUAUCUUGACUUCAUUAUUCUUAGUGUAAGUAAGAUAAUUAAUAAAUAAUUAAUGAAGUGUGUCAAUUCUAUGAAGCUUCAAACAUGCUUGAAUACUUAAAAAUAUUUUGUCUUCAACAAGAAGGUGUGUAUAUUAUUGAAUUAUUUUUGCAAUAUACAAAUAAUUAUUAUUAUGUGGAGGCAAUUUCAAAGAUGUGAUAACAAUUUUAAAGAAUAAAUCAUUGUCUCAAACAAUUUUAAAAAAUAUUUUUUUCUAUACUAAAUCUUUUAAAGUAACAAAUAUGUUUUGCAAUACACAUAUAAUUAUUAUUAUGUGGAGAUAAGUUACUAAAGUCAGAAUCUAAAACACUUAUUACAAUUAGAGUUAAUUCUUAUUUAUAAUUUACUUAAAUUAAAGUUAAAAUUUUUUUAUCACUAUAAAAGAGUUAUUUCUAUAUAGAUAAUCACUAUAAAUAUAGAGUAUCACUAUAAAAAAGUUUUACGAUCAAUCAUCCGUCAUAAUAAGCACAAGAAUGACAAGUUUUGAUUCUCAAAUAAAUUCUUAUAAAACACAACCAUGGAUUAAGAUUGUCGGGAAAUGGGAAUGCAAUACAAAGUAAUUAAUGACACAGUCUCAGUGUUUCACUUACACGUGAAGCAAACGAAACAAGAAGAAUCUUAAGAAAAAAACACUCACCAGAACGCAAGGUUCAAUCCCGGUUUACUACGUCAACCUCCAUUCCUCAAAGAGAUUGGAAACACGUCAACCUUCAUCUCCACCAGUAUUCACCUCCACGAAUAAGAAUUCUGCGCCCAUUUGCACUAUUUGAAUCGAGUGGAAGCUUUUUAAGCGAAUCGCAAACCCAAACUUGCAAUACUUUCAGACGUGGGAGAGGCAAGGGCUUCCAGUAAAUGCUCUUCAAACGGACCAGUCCUCCUAACUCAAGACGCUGGAGUUUUGCAAAAGGGCUGUUUAUUAUUCCCGUCAUCUCAGGAAUGUCAUCAAACUCUCCAGCACUGAUUAUUUCUUCCAUGUCAUCGCAAUAGCUUACGGAAAUAGACUUGAGGUUUGGAGCAAAAACGAGGAAUGUCAAGUGUUUCAAAUUUCUGCAAAAGCGUACGGUAACUUUCUCAAGGCUGCGGAAAACAUAAGGUUGGCGCGAUUUUUGUACCAUAUCAUUGCAGUCAAUCUUCAGUCCCUUAAUACAACCACAACUAAAAAAGUCUAAUGUAUUGAGCUGCUCUAGAUCGGCUAAAUCUGCAACAUCGAUCGACUCCUCCCUAUCGAAGCGAUGGAGCAAGAGAGCUUGAGUACAACUUCGUAACUUCUGUGAGCUCAAAAAUGUUUGGUAAGCCUCAAAACUCCUGAAGGAGAUCUCCAGUACCUCUAAAUAUUUCAAACCGAGCAAUUCCUCUGCUACAUUCUCAUGCCAAGAGCUAAGUAAAAAACCAGUAGCAAACAUUCUCAACACACGUAACCUUGAAAAAUUAGAUAACAGUUGCUGUGGAACUACAACUAACUCUUUUGCCCAGACCAAAUUCAAACAUUUAAGAUUUACCAACGCUUUUAACUCUUCGGGUAACUCUGUAACGCUUGUAUUUGAAAUAUCAAGGAGUUGUAGUGAAACCAACUUUGAGAUCCCCAUUGGUAACUGCCGUAGCGUUUCAUUAUCUGACAUCUUCAAAACUGUUAGACAAGACAUAGACUGGAAGAAGCCACCGGUGAUCGUCCUCAACGGAUUACGGUUAAGAAACAAAGUAAGAAGAUGAGGGCAUGUCGGAACAGUUGGUAGAUUAUCAAUUGAAUUUCUCAUCAAUGAUAAUCUUCUCACAAUUUCCCAUCCUCUGACAUCUGCCUCCCUUAAUCCGGAACCUGCAUAAACCAAAAAGCCCUCCUUCUCCUUCUCAAUCUCACAAGUUAUCCACAAUGCCAUAUCGCGGAUGACGUCAUGCAUUUUUACUUGAUCAUCUUCUACCUCUUCCAAUAAACAUGCAUGAACAAGAGUGCCCACGAUAUAGUAUCCUCGGUUUUGUGUGCCAAACUUGUCUUCUUCCAAAAACCCCUCGCACAUCCAGCAAUCAAUCAAGUCUCUUUUAUCUAUGCCGUAAUCUUCCGGAUAUAAACAACAAUAUAAGAAACAAGAUCUGAUUGCAUCGCUUGGCAAGCAAUCAUAGCUGAAUUUUAAAAGAGGAUAUACCUCCUUUCCCAAACCUGUAAAUUCGGAAGCUGAUCUUCUUAAAACUUCAAUCGCAUAUCUCCAUUCUUCAGGAGUCUUUUUGUAGGCCAUGGCUCGACCAAUAGUAAUAAGCGCGAGCGGCAAUCCACCGCACUCCUUUGCCACAGUUUGAGCUAGUUGAGGAAUACUAUGAUGACUCUCAAUAGUUUCUUCCCCAACUUUCUCUCGAAAUAGUUCCCAAGCAUCCUCAUCGGAUAAGCAUGCCACUUUGAACUUCGUUCGAGCUUCCAUACCGCCACAAACAUCAACGAAACGGGUUGUAAAUACUACUGCACUAUUCUUUGGAAGAGGGACACCAAUCUUCUUUAGAUCAACCCGCUCCCAUAGAUCAUCCAACAACAAAGCAAACUUCUUCUUGCUUAAAGUCUUGAAGAUGUCCUGAGCUUUCUCUUCGAGACUUUUGUCCUUCCAUGAAUCAUUAUAUAGACCUAUCUUUUUCCCGAUAGUUUCUUGAAUUUUUUCAAGCUGCAGGUCUUUUGACACCACAACCCAAAUCACAGAAUCAAAAUCUGUUGGAUUAUCAACAAAUUUAUUAUUGAUUUGGGUUAACAGUGUAGUUUUACCGACACCGCCCAUGCCGUAUAGGCCAAUUAUACCAGCUGCAGGUUCUUGUACAAGACAUCUCCAAACUUGUUCAAGUUGUGAUUGCAAGCCUACCACCGUUGGCUCAGUAGGUCUUUCAUCUGCCACAGAUAUUAAUUCUGGAUCUGGCGCGGCCACCUCUUCAAAAACUCCUUCCCCCUUUAAGGCCUUCACAUCUCGCAGCCUUUUAGCAACUUUUCUACCAAACUUGUAGCUUGACUUGCAGUUCCUGGAGCAGUAGCCUCCAAGACACAAUUUGUCAAUUUCCUGAGAGCCACCAUCUCUUCCCAUGAGUUCAUCAACUUCAGUUUUAAGAGUCUCCACCCUCGAAAGCCAAACCUGCACUUGGUUCAGCCUCUUCAUUUUGUGUUGGUGUUCAGCAUUGAGGACCCUCGUCAUCACAUCAUUCUUUGCAGCGAUUAGUUGUUCCAAUUCAGUCGUCAAGGCAACAACAUUAUCUUUGAGGUCAGUUAUAUAUGCCGCUUUGCCAAGAGCGCAGUCUGGGCAACGAUUGAACAUUGCGCCAACAUCGCAAGAGAUUUGCAAAAUGUUACCCAUAAUGGAUCUCACUUGUAUGUAUGAAUUCAACCAAGAGAGAAACAAAGGAAUUUAACUUCACCAGUUUGAUGAACAGAAGCUGCUGUCGCGGAUUAAUUGAGAUAGAACAUUAGUUAUUGAAUAAUGUAAUCAGCUCUGUUUGUACCCAACUCACUAAAAAAAGUAACAAAAAGGAACAUUAGUUAUUGAAUAAUGUCCAAUACGUAUUAGCAAAGUGGGUAAGUUAUAUUUAAUGUAACCUACGGUCAGUCUGUGAAAUUGUAUCUAGUCUCCUAUGUUCUAUGUUAUUUAUAUUUUAUUCAUAAAUAUUAUAAAUAUUUUGAAAUAUAAAAUUCCGUUUAACCCCUUAUACUCAAUUUUAUUUUAUUGAAACCCUAGAGUAUGAAUUCCCCCCAUAAUUUUAAAUUCUCAAAAUAACCUCCAUUUAAUUAAAAAAUAUAAUUAUUUUUAAAUAAAUUAUAAUUAUAAUUAUUAUUUUAUUAUAAUCAUAAAUAUUUUUUAAAAUAGAUUAUUAUUAUUAUUAUUAUUAUUAACAAGAAUAAAAAGCAUUAUAAUUAAUUAAUCUAUUAACAAUAAUUAAUAAUAUUUUUUAUUAAAUUGUUAAUAAUAAUAAUAAUUAAUGAUUAUCUAACUAAUAGGAAAUGUAUUGCUAAUGCUACCUUCGACUUUAAAUACUCAUUAUCGGGUUUCAAGAGACCAAUGAAUGACAAUUUCUGUCAAAAUUUUAAGCUUGACCCAAUAAAAAUAAUUUUACAUUUAAAAAACUAGAAGUAAGAAAAAUGUGUUUACAUCCUCGAAGGUGUAACAACUUAGCAAAAAGCACUUAAAAAUUACCGUUUAAUAAUGAGAUGCCUACGAAACUAUUAUUUAUCAAAGUAACAAAAAAUCCUGAAAGUACUUGAAAUUAAAAAGUAUAGAAAUAUAAAAGAGUCUCCUACAUAAAUAUGGACUCAAUGUUUAUUCCAUUUUAUUAUAAUCAUAAAUAUGUUAAUUAUCAAAAUUUCUGUCAAAAUUUUUGUUUCCUCCUUUCUAUCUUUCAUAUCAGCAUUAUUUUUGUCUUGAUUAUUGAAUAGUUGAAUAUGUAUGUGUGUGGGGGCAUAUAAUAUAUAGUACUUAGAUUUUGUUUAAUUUUCUAUUGUUAACUUGAUUAUUUGUGGCAUUAAUUUAAUAUGAUUUACAUCUUUUUGGUUGUAGUAUUGAUGAGGUUCCUUUAUAUGAUGACCCAAUUUUUUUUUUUUUUUUUUGGUCUUCAUUUGUUUAAUUAUGAGAAAAAUAAAAUAGUAAUAAGAUUGGUCAAUUUGGGUAAACAAUUAAUGAACUAAUGUAGUAUAUCUCAUCUCACUCCCCUAGCAUAUCAUAAAUUUCCAAAAUUUGUCUUCAAUCGAUUAAACAUAAAUUUCAAAAUUCUUUAAAAAAAAAAAAGCCAAUACCGAUCCUUUAAAGUUUAAAACAUCCAAAAAGGAAAAAAAAAAAAAAAUCAUCUAUUAGCAUAUGGUAAAAGCAUAAUUCGACUAAAGUUGGGACAUGGCAUGUGGUAGACAUGUGGAUUGAUUGCUUGUGUUAUUGAAUCGUUGUAUCAUCGACUUCGCAUUAUUAAUAAGCUUUUUAACUUUUAUGAUUUUAUAAUAAACAGUAGGGGUUUAAGUGUUAAUAACCAAUUGAACACAUUUCAACGGUUGAACACUUUAACCCUCGUAUCAAAUGGCUGAACCAGAAAAUGACAAAGUUUGGGGUACCGUGCAACUGUUGCACGGUAGGCGGACCCUAUUGAAUAAUGUAAUCAAGUCAUGGGUAGACGGAUGAAUCCUAUAAAUCUAUAGGCGGACCCUAUAGAUUGAUUAGUCAAGUAAGGGAAAUGGGUCCGUAACUUUCAAGCAAGACUUGACGUCCUGUCCCUUGCCUCCUCACCAUACCAUUAAAGUUUUGAAGUUAGGCCAAUUAGAUUAAAGGUGAGAUGGAAUGGAUUUAUGGAGUCGUUGAUUACUGAACGUAUUUGCCAAUCUAUUGGACGUAUUAAAGUUCUUUCCCUUUCAACAUUAUUGAACGUAUUUUGCAGGGAAACCUCCUCUAUCUUUCUUCCCAUUAACGUCCAAUUAAGACUUUUGUGUAUCCAAUUAAUGUCCAUUAACUUGAAGAUUGAAGAGGGCCAGCGUUAUUUCAAAGUCAAGAUUGGCUUAUUAGCUUGCAGAAUUCUUGAUAUGAGUUAAAAAAAUAAAUAAAUAAGGUUGAAAAGGAUUAGGAUUAGCUUAGUUUUUAUUGAUCAUUGAAUUAAUGGUUAGGAUUUAUUUUAUAUUUUACUUUUUUCAUCUAAUUACCAAUCUAGUGGUCAGCACUGAAUUGAAUACUUGUCUAAUUGAAAGGUAAUGGGUAAAAGGUUUUUAAAACUUUAAAUAUUUUUGUGAAUUUUUGAGCAGCAGCCAAAUUCCAAGAUUCUCAACAAUUUUUGAGCCAAUCCCAAAGGAGAUUUAGUUUACUAUACACAUGCCACUUCUUAAUAAUUAAGAUCUACAUAAAUGACUUUUAAUUUUGUAUGAUGAUCUCUUCCUCUUUGGAACAGAUACUCAAAUUUUAUUCAUCGUGACUGUGUUGAUCAAAACCGAUAUUAAUCAAUCUUGUAUUCAAGUACACUCAACCAAUUCUGUUUUCUUACAGAAUUGUUCAGAAAUAAAGAACUGUAAUUACCUCCAAAAUCAAACAAAUAAUAACCAAUAUGUUAUAUUUUUUAAUUGGUUUUUUUCCCCUUCAAAUAAUGGAGUCCAUAGUGCAGUUUUGACUGGCACAUGUACUAAGAUAUGAAAGUUAAUGUACAAAAUGGAAGAAUAAUAAAAUCAUGUCCGAAAUUAUUAAUUCUCAGGUGCAACCUAAAUUUAGAUGUAUCUUAAUUCUUAAAAGGAGAAAAAAAAAAAGAGUCAAUCAUUGUUAGAGCUUCAAGAGCUUUGAGAUCUUAUUGGUUUAUUUUAUUAUUAGUAUUUGGCGUUUUUCGCUUUCAGGAUAGUCGCAACAAAUAGAUUCUUGAAAGAGCGGUGCUAUUGGCACCUUCUUAAAACUCAAUUGAAACCCCAUUUUCAUGUUUAUAGCUUUAUUCUUAGUUAAAAUUACACAAAAGGACAAAAGAAAUUUAAUUAAAAUUUAAUUUUCUUUUCUUUUUGUUACUAAUUCUUCAAACCCAAUAAAUUACUUUAUUGGGAUUUUUGUUAUUUUUGCCUUUAAUUUCUUUUUUUUUUGUAAGUAAAAUAAGUGCCCACUUGGUGAAGAAAAUCCAAUAAUUUGAUAAAAAUCUAAUAAAUUUCUUGGACCUUUUUUUCUUAAUUAUUUCCAAAAUCAUUUUGGAACUAAAAAAAAUUGAAUCCCAUAUACAUUAGAUACUGAAAAUAAAGAGUUUAUGAUGUGUGGGUAUGAACUGCGAAGAGUUAAAAAGAAAAUACGUACAUGGAUUGGGGUUUAAUAAUUUUGUAUUUGUAGUUUUAUGUAAUUUUCUCUGGUGAAAGAGCUGUUAAUGAAAACGGGGUUUCAUAAGAAUAACGAGGGGGUGCCAAUAGUAUUACUCUUCUUGAAAAUCAUAUGAGAAAGACAAAUAGCCCAAAAACAAAGUGCCUGUAUCUUUAAAUUUAUUAUAGAGUAGUAAUUUUUAUUUUUUUUUUAAAAAUUGCUCUACCUUUUUUUUUUCAAAACCUUAACUAAAAUAUUAAAAUUGUGAAAAUUAGGAAUCUGGUCAGGAUGAUAUUCUGAGUCCCAUUUUCAUUUUCAUUUAUUGAAAAUAAGUUGAACAACUGUUCGGUAUAAUGUUCUAAUAAAAUGAAUUAUGAAAUAAAAAAUACAGAUUUUACUUUUGUUUACUCAAAAAGUUGAAGAACGACAUUUUUAUGGUUUUAUUGAAUUUCAAGAAUGGAAGCCAUUCUCUCAUCUUUAUCUUAUAUUAGCGUCCAUGGUAAUUAAAAUGGUUUUUGUAUCAAAUUGAUAAGAUUGAAACAUCUAAUGCUACAAUGGCUUUUGUGAUUAUUUUAAAUUUGAAGUUAAAAUUUGAUAAAACUAAUAAGUUUUAUUGAGCAGAAGAUGAGUGGAAGGACUUUUUCUAUGAUAUUUAGCCGAACAAAAAGAUAAAAUAAAAUGUUCAAGGACUUUAAAAAAAUGUCGUCAUAUUUUGCUUGUACCAAUGAAACAGUAGUUGUGAAAAAGGAUUAAAAUAAUAUUUUCAAAUGAGAUUUUUCUCUAUACCUUAUCAUACCUUUUAUUUGAAUAUCUUUCUUCGUAUAUAAAUUUAUGAUUACAUUUAUCAGAUGCUCUAUAAUAUAUUUCAUUUACUGAAAAUUUUUAUUAUUAAAUGUAAUGAACAAUUUAAUCUUUUUAUAAGUGUUUACUGUGUGAUACCAAAAAAUAAAUAAACUCUAAAUAAUCCAUUGACAUAAAUAUAAACUAUAUGUUUAAGUUAAAAAAAAAAGUUUCAAUCCAAUGCUACCGAACAAGUAUUACAGUUUUUUUAUUUAAAAUAUAAGUUUCAAAAACUCAUACUGAACACAUACUUAUAUUUAGAAUACUAGUUUCAAAAACAUCAUUUUUAUUUUUGUUUUUGUUCUAUAAAAACAUCAAUUGACAAUAAUAAAGACAAAGAAUUGAAAAUUUUAAUAAGAAUUAAUCUAACUACUCUCUUUAAAAGGAAAAAAAAAAGAAAAAAGAAAAAAGAAAAUAUCUAACUACACUCACUUUCUAAAAAUAUUAAUACAUAUAAUUACACUAAAACCCCUAUACAUUUUUAUUUUACCAAAUAAUUAUGUGAUUAAUAUUUAUUUAUAAAAUAUAACAAUUAUGUGAUUAAUAUAAUAUUAAUUUUAUAAUCUCAACUCAAUGGUCAUAUCAAGAGCAUAUUUAAUUAUUUUAUUUUUAAUCUACAAUUGAGAUGUCACACCAUGGAGUUAAAGCGGUUGUUAUCAUUUUGUUUUCUGAUUUAAUUUCUAUUUUAAAAAUAAUUUGAGACCCCGUGAGCAUUCAACGAAUGAUUUGCGAGUUUGGAGGAGUCCAUGCAUAUGGGGCCCACUGGUCGUUUGAUGAUUGAUUAUGUCACAUGAUUCCUGCCACAUACGAUUAUUAUCCACCCUUUAUCUCUUUUUUUUUUUUCUUUAAUAAAUAACCCUCUUUACUCAUUUCACUUCCAAAUUCAUGUUCAUGCCCUUACACUAUUGAUUUAUCUAUUUUUUAUUUUACAUUUUUUUUUACUCUUCCUCAUGUUAUUGUCCCUUUCUUUUUCCUUAGCAGUAAUGUUCCCAAAUUUAAUCGAGAAACAAAGAUAUAAAUGAUAGAACUUAUUAGUUUGAUAAUUUAUAAACUCGCAAUAGAUGAUACUCAUUUUCAUUCCUAGAUAAAUGCAAUACGGCCGUGUAUAAAAUACGUCGAGAUUUGGGAAAAACGUGGCCCUAAGGCCUUUUUAGUAAGAUUAGGGAUUUCACUGAAAUUUAAUUCCUUUAAAAUGUGAAGUUUACGUUUUGCACCCUUUGAAUUUACAGUUUCUUAUUUAUGGCAUCUCAAUUUGGCUUCUCUCGAAUAUGGUCCACGUUAAACCAAAAUUAUAAUUGCACCACUAAAUAUGACAGUACUGGAAAACUAUUUGAAGUGGAAAGUUAGUGAGUUUCUAUUUUUUUUUAAGGAUAUAUUUUAAGUAUUAUAUAGAUAAAAAUUAACUAUCUACCUAAGUAACCAAGCGAGCAAUUUAAACUUUAGACCUCUUUUACAUCAACGGAUUAUGUUUGGCAGACUCAAUUUGUCAAUAACUAGAUAUAUGUUACGACAGACUCAAUUUGGGGCAGAUUCUAAGGUAAGGAAAUUGAAAAUGCCUAUUUUCGAAGGUGAGGAUGCCUAUGGAUGGGUGUAUAGGGUAGAGCGCUAUUUCGCCAUCAAUGGACUCUAAGAAAGGGAAAAAUUGAUGGCGGCGGCGUUAUGUUUGGAGGGAAAGGCCCUUGCGCAGUUUCAAUGGUGAGAACAACGAAAACCGUUGAGGUCAUGGGAUGAGUCUAAAGAUCGGCUAUUGGAGAGGUUUCAGGGCACUCAAGAGGGAGAUUUGCAUGAACAAUUUUUUACUUUGACCCAGGAUAGAAUGGUUAUGGAGUAUAAGGAGAAGUUUGAGUUACUAUUAGGGCGUUUAUGGGGAAUUCCAGAGGCGGUAUUGGAAGGAAAUUUUAUGAAGGGACUGAAGCCAGAAAUCCGAGCCUCGCUACGCUUGCUAAGGUCGAGAGGGUUAGGGGAGUCAAUGGAGUUGGCACAAUUGGUUGAGGAUAAGAGCACGAUAGAACGGGUUAAUAGGAGCAAUUCAGUCAAUUUUUCAUACCAAAACAACACGCCAUUGGUAGGACAGAAAACCCAGACUUUGGGGUUCCAGCGAGAGUUCCAAAGUACACCACUAGGAGGCCAGAAAAUGCAAAUGGUGGAUUUAUAGAGAGAUUCCCAAAGGGAUUGGGAUAGUGGGGCACGACUGGGGGUGACUUUCGAACGCCUCAUGGAGACAGAGAUUCAGGAUAAGAGGGCGAAGGGGUUGUGCUUUCGAUGUGAUGAGAAAUUUUCACCAGGGCAUCGAUGUAAGGAUAAAUCACUACAAGUCCUGACUGUGUGUGAUGAGGAAGAAGGCUAGAAAGAAGCUGAAGAAGAAGACGCAGUAAUUUCCUAGAUUUCACCUUGAGGACAAUGUGUCUUUUUGGGAGGAGAGUAAUGUUUGACCAAUGAAAAUUUAAAUGCAAUUAUAAAGAGGCAAGGGCACUUUAGUAAUCUUAGAGACGGAGACAGUUUAAUAAUUUUAUUAUUAAUUAGGGUUUAAAUAUAAAUAAAAAAUUAUGGAGUCACUUAGAAUUUAUUAGUGUUGUUUUGGUGCAUAAUUGAUUUUGAUACCAUUACGCCCUAUUAUUCCUUUGUUCAGCACGGAGUAAUUUUGUUUUCAUCCACACUUUGAUUGAAGCUCUGCCGGCGAAAGUGCUGACUACUAUUGCACGGACCUACGCUAUCUUUGACAACUUAAGACAUUUAUCCUAGGACAAUGUGACCUAUAGUGGCUGACAAAUGCCUGCUUUAUUUAAUUCUCAAGCACCUGUCAUCUGAGCAAUGUUAAAUCAAUUAAUUGUGCCUUUUUUAUUACCACAUAUCUUCUUUGGCCUUGAACCAUUCAUUUUUGCCAAGGGUUGACUCUUUUUCCUCAUGGUGAGCUGAAGCUGUAUACUGCUUUUGUGGAAUCUUGGCAUCCAACACUAAAUUAAGAUUUCAGCCUUCAAACUUAUAAUGCAAGAUAUUAGAUAGUGUUUGGGUGGCUCCUGAAUAGUGCCAAAAAGAAUGAGUCUUGGCCACCAUUGCUGAAUUUUGUUUAACCUUUAACACAAUGAUGACUUCAUCUUGCUACAUUUACAUAUAACAGAUUUCAUUAUCUUCUUAGGAUUUACUGGAGGGUCUGAAUCAACUGGAAGAAGGUUUGAAGGAUAAUACUAAGAGAUUGAGUUCUUUCGACAAGUACAUGCAAGAAGUCCUCCUUGGCCAUCUCGACUGGUCCCCCAUGCACAAAGAUUCCCUAUUCUGGGGUGAUAAUAUCACAAACUUUGAAGAAAAUGAUUUCCAGGUAUUUCUUUUCCCCAUGGACGGUGUUUCUAGUUUUUAUUUUUCAUUUUUUCUGCUUUAACCGCACUGAAUGACCCUGCUAAUAUCUGUAUCGUCUCGUUCAGCAUCAUUUUGUAUAAAUACCUACAAAGUUUCUGUAAUACUAAUGGAUAAUCUUCUCUCUCAGAUUCUAAGGGUCCUCUUAACAAUUUUGGAUACAUCCAGUGAUCCACGAGCUCUUGCUGUCGCUUGCUUUGAUCUCUCACAGUUUAUCCAGUACCAUCCAGCUGGGCGGGUCAUUGUGACAGACCUCAAAGCCAAGGAACGGGUGAUGAAAUUGAUGAACCAUGAGAAUACCGAGGUUACCAAGAGCGCCUUACUCUGCAUCCAAAGGCUUUUCCUAGGCGCAAAGUACGCGAGCUUUUUGCAGGCCUGAAUUCUCUUUCUAUGGGGUCCAGUAUUGUUUACAAAGGAAAUGCUUGUAAUGAUUUGAUUCCAGUUUGGCUGGUUAGGUUGUUUAUUUAUUUAUCAAUCAUUGGAGGAAUUUAUGAAUCAGGGGAACUCGUCUGUUGGAUUUUUUUAAGUACUGUGAAGAAUUAGUUGAUUUUUUACCAUAUUUUGGAAAUUUAUUUUGUUUGUGAGAUGAGGAAUAAAUUGAUACCAUCUGUACUGACCUUUGAUAUGAAAACUACUCGAGCGCAUGACAUAUAUCUGUUUUUGUUCAUUUCUGUAUCUUGCUGCUGACUGAAGCUGGAUUUUCAGGCUCGUUAUUAUCAUCUAUUCUUUUGAAGUUGCAAAAUGAAUUCUCAAUAUUUUCAGGGGAAAUGCUUAUAAUUAGCGCGGAAUUAAACAUUGAUUGUGUACUGUAUACUUCCAAAAGGCAAUUUAUUUCCAUUGAUUUGAGUAAACUAAAUCUCCGUGAUGGUAGCACUUUUUUAAUCACUUAUUAAAGAAUUCUUUGAAAAUUUGAUGAUUGUUGUUGAAAACAUUUACUAAUUGUAAAUGCGUUAAAAAUUAUUUGAUUCAUUUAGUAUCACUAAUAGUGAUUUAAUUUUUCAUCUUGAUUGAACGAUGAAUUUUGUAUUAAUCCGGAAAAGUGCUACUGUUACUCCAACCACGCGUCGCUUAAAGGUUCAUGUAAUUUGAGACGACUUGUCGUCUAUGUUUUAUUCCGGACCGGUUCACGCAAACUUUAAAGCUUUCGAGUACUCGCGGAGCGGCGAUCGCUAAUCCCUCAAAAGAAGACACACAAGGAAUGGAGACUGAGAAAGUAAAGGAGAAGGAGAAGGAGAAAGUGUGCAAGAGGUGUAAGCAAACGUACACAGCUUCAUCAAACAGCUCUUCUUCUUGCCGCUUUCACCCUUCCUUCUUCGUUUGCCGUCGUCACGACGACCAGAAAAGGUACCCACCCCACUCCCUCUUUUGAUCAUCAUUUCGCAUACACUUUUCUUCAAUUUAUUUUUUUUUAAUUUUUUUCUCAUGUACCCUUGUGAUUCUUUUGCAUUCUUUAUUGGAUGUUAUUAAUUAUUAUUAAAAAAAUUCUAAAAAAUAAAUAAAAUUCACGGCAGCUAGGAGUUGAAUGAAACUCUGAGGCCAGUCCAGUUUGGUAGGAUUCUUUGAUUUACAAAGCAUCGAGUAAUCAGAUUUGCUGGGCAUUCAUUUUGCUUUGUUAUUUUUCCAUGUAUCAAUUUUCAGUUCAUAAUUUGUGUCUGAGUGUGAGUGCACAAAUUUUGAUCUGUAACUAAUUAAUGGAUAUCAUUGUUUAAAAUGUGAAAAAUUUAGUUUAUUCUAUGCUAGUUUUUCAUAACAUGAGUUGGACUGAGCUCAGUCAGUUGAUGCUCCAUGUUUUUGAUUCAUUGAAGGUACUAUGAAUUGGGACCUGAUGAUCCGCCAUAUGCUGCCAAGUUUUACGACUGCUGCGGGGCCGAGGAUGCUGAUGCCUCUGGUUGUACCACUGGCUUCCAUGUCUCUUAUGAUGAUGAUUAACAUAAUUUUUACCUCCUAAUCACCUGUAACUAUAGAUUAAAUUUGUAGAUAUCUCCGUGUCUCCUCCUGUGACCCACAUCAUUUCCACUGUUCUACCACUGUAUAAUUCAGGCCUUUCAUCAGUUUAUCUCUUCAUUUCUCAACAUUUUUCUUUUUUUUUUUUUCCUGGGGUUGAUCUGGCAUGAAUUCGACAUGUGCUGCUAUGGCCAACUUUCGAGGGAUGAUGGUAAAUCUAAACCCUUUUCCAUAAACUUCUGCAAUUAGUUGGUCUAGGGCAUUUGAAGAGCUUAUACUGGAAGCCAUUGCCUUCCCACAUCUUAAGUAAAGAGUAAUGCUACUUUGACAGAAAUAGGUUUACAAAAUUUUGACAUACUUAUGAAAUACUAAAUUACCUUUUAGUUUAUUUACAGAUAGCGAAUUGGGCUUUUUACAUAUUUUUGUAAGAAUCAACCUAAACUUAUAUUCAGGAAAGAAAUAACUGCAGAGGAGAAAAAAGUAAUGAGGCGAUAGAAAAUUAUGCCAAAAUUAAUAGUAAGGCAUUUGAGAUUGCAGUAGAACUUCUCAAUAAUCAUAUUAUUAGGAUCAAUUGAUUUUGUUACUAUAAGGAGGUUAAAACUUUGUAGAGGUUUAGUUCAAAAUUACUAUCUUGACUUCAUUAUUCUUAGUGUAAGUAAGAUAAUUAAUAAAUAAUUAAUGAAGUGUGUCAAUUCUAUGAAGCUUCAAACAUGCUUGAAUACUUAAAAAUAUUUUGUCUUCAACAAGAAGGUGUGUAUAUUAUUGAAUUAUUUUUGCAAUAUACAAAUAAUUAUUAUUAUGUGGAGGCAAUUUCAAAGAUGUGAUAACAAUUUUAAAGAAUAAAUCAUUGUCUCAAACAAUUUUAAAAAAUAUUUUUUUCUAUACUAAAUCUUUUAAAGUAACAAAUAUGUUUUGCAAUACACAUAUAAUUAUUAUUAUGUGGAGAUAAGUUACUAAAGUCAGAAUCUAAAACACUUAUUACAAUUAGAGUUAAUUCUUAUUUAUAAUUUACUUAAAUUAAAGUUAAAAUUUUUUUAUCACUAUAAAAGAGUUAUUUCUAUAUAGAUAAUCACUAUAAAUAUAGAGUAUCACUAUAAAAAAGUUUUACGAUCAAUCAUCCGUCAUAAUAAGCACAAGAAUGACAAGUUUUGAGUCUCAAAUAAAUUCUUAUAAAACACAACCAUGGAUUAAGAUUGUCGGGAAAUGGGAAUGCAAUACAAAGUAAUUAAUGACACAGUCACAGUGUUUCACUUACACGUGAAGCAAACGAAACAAGAAGAAUCUUAAGAAAAAAACACUCACCGGAACGCAAGGUUCAAUCCCGGUUUACUACGUCAACCUCCGUUGGAAACAGAGACGAAAAGCAUUUUGAGUGGCUUCAUCCUCCCAUUGAAGCCUUCUCCACCAGUAUUCACCUCCACGAAUAAGAAUUCUGCGCCCAUUUGCACUAUUUGAAUCGAGUGGAAGCUUUUUAAGCGAAUCGCAAACCCAAACUUGCAAUACUUUCAGACGUGGGAGAGGCAAGGGCUUCCAGUAAAUGCUCUUCAAACGGACCAGUCCUCCUAACUCAAGACGCUGGAGUUUUGCAAAAGGGCUGUUUAUUAUUCCCGUCAUCUCAGGAAUGUCAUCAAACUCUCCAGCACUGAUUAUUUCUUCCAUGUCAUCGCAAUAGCUUACGGAAAUAGACUUGAGGUUUGGAGCAAAAACGAGGAAUGUCAAGUGUUUCAAAUUUCUGCAAAAGCGUACGGUAACUUUCUCAAGGCUGCGGAAAACAUAAGGUUGGCGCGAUUUUUGUACCAUAUCAUUGCAGUCAAUCUUCAGUCCCUUAAUACAACCACAACUAAAAAAGUCUAAUGUAUUGAGCUGCUCUAGAUCGGCUAAAUCUGCAACAUCGAUCGACUCCUCCCUAUCGAAGCGAUGGAGCAAGAGAGCUUGAGUACAACUUCGUAACUUCUGUGAGCUCAAAAAUGUUUGGUAAGCCUCAAAACUCCUGAAGGAGAUCUCCAGUACCUCUAAAUAUUUCAAACCGAGCAAUUCCUCUGCUACAUUCUCAUGCCAAGAGCUAAGUAAAAAACCAGUAGCAAACAUUCUCAACACACGUAACCUUGAAAAAUUAGAUAACAGUUGCUGUGGAACUACAACUAACUCUUUUGCCCAGACCAAAUUCAAACAUUUAAGAUUUACCAACGCUUUUAACUCUUCGGGUAACUCUGUAACGCUUGUAUUUGAAAUAUCAAGGAGUUGUAGUGAAACCAACUUUGAGAUCCCCAUUGGUAACUGCCGUAGCGUUUCAUUAUCUGACAUCUUCAAAACUGUUAGACAAGACAUAGACUGGAAGAAGCCACCGGUGAUCGUCCUCAACGGAUUACGGUUAAGAAACAAAGUAAGAAGAUGAGGGCAUGUCGGAACAGUUGGUAGAUUAUCAAUUGAAUUUCUCAUCAAUGAUAAUCUUCUCACAAUUUCCCAUCCUCUGACAUCUGCCUCCCUUAAUCCGGAACCUGCAUAAACCAAAAAGCCCUCCUUCUCCUUCUCAAUCUCACAAGUUAUCCACAAUGCCAUAUCGCGGACGACGUCAUGCAUUUUUACUUGAUCAUCUUCUACCUCUUCCAAUAAACAUGCAUGAACAAGAGUGCCCACGAUAUAGUAUCCUCGGUUUUGUGUGCCAAACUUGUCUUCUUCCAAAAACCCCUCGCACAUCCAGCAAUCAAUCAAGUCUCUUUUAUCUAUGCCGUAAUCUUCCGGAUAUAAACAACAAUAUAAGAAACAAGAUCUGAUUGCAUCGCUUGGCAAGCAAUCAUAGCUGAAUUUUAAAAGAGGAUAUACCUCCUUUCCCAAACCUGCAAAUUCGGAAGCUGAUCUUCUUAAAACUUCAAUCGCAUAUCUCCAUUCUUCAGGAGUCUUUUUGUAGGCCAUGGCUCGACCAAUAGUAAUAAGCGCGAGCGGCAACCCACCGCACUCCUUUGCCACAGUUUGAGCUAGUUCAGGAAUACUAUGAUGACUCUCAAUAGUUUCUUCCCCAACUUUCUCUCGAAAUAGCUCCCAAGCAUCCUCAUCGGAUAAGCAUGCCACUUUGAACUUCCUUCGAGCUUCCAUACCGCCACAAACAUCAACGAAACGGGUUGUAAAUACUACUGCACUAUUCUUUGGAAGAGGGACACCAAUCUUCUUUAGAUCAACCCGCUCCCAUAGAUCAUCCAACAACAAAGCAAACUUCUUCUUGCUUAAAGUCUUGAAGAUGUCCUGAGCUUUCUCUUCGAGACUUUUGUCCUUCCAUGAAUCAGUAUAUAGACCUAUCUUUUUCCCGAUAGUUUCUUGAAUUUUUUCAAGCCGAAGGUCUUUGGACACCACAACCCAAAUCACAUAAUCAAAAUCUGUUGGAUUAUCAACAAAUUUAUUAUUGAUUUGGGUUAACAGUGUAGUUUUACCGACACCGCCCAUGCCGUAUAGGCCAAUUAUACCAGCUGCAGGUUCUUGUACAAGACAUCUCCAAACUUGUUCAAGUUGUGAUUGCAAGCCUACCACCGUUGGCUCAGUAGGUCUUUCAUCUGCCGCAGAUAUUAAUUCUGGAUCUGGCGCGGCCACCUCUUCAAAAACUCCUUCGCCCUUUAAGGCCUUCACAUCUCGCAGCCUUUUAACAACUUUUCUACCAAACUUGUAGCUUGACUUGCAGUUCCUGGAGCAGUAGCCUCCAAGACACAAUUUGUCAAUUUCCUGAGAGCCACCAUCUCUUCCCAUGAGUUCAUCAACUUCAGUUUUAAGAGUCUCCACCCUCGAAAGCCAAACCUGCACUUGGUUCAGCCUCUUCAUUUUGUGUUGGUGUUCGGCAUUGAGGACCCUCGUCAUCACAUCGUUCUUUGCAGCCAUUAGUUGUUCCAAUUCAGUCGUCAAGGCAACAACAUUAUCUUUGAGGUCAGUUAUAUAUGCAGCUUUGCCAAGAGCGCAGUCUGGGCAACGAUUGAACAUUGCGCCAACAUCGCAAGAGAUUUGCAAAAUGUUACCCAUAAUGGAUCUCACUUGUAUGUAUGAAUUCAACCAAGAGAGAAACAAAGGAAUUUAACUUCACCAGUUUGAUGAACAGAAGCUGCUGUCGCGGAUUAAUUGAGAAUUUGAGAUAGAACAUUAGUUAUUGAAUAAUGUAAUCGGCUCUGUUUGUACCCAACUUACUAAAAAAGUAACAAAAAGGAAAAUUUUGAAAGGUGGAAUGCAGCUGGCAAAGGAAAAAUCAAAGGGCAUGCUUCCCACGUCAAGAUGGUGGUGGUGGUCACCAUCUUUGUGUUUCCUUGACCUUAUCCAAUAUUCAUCAUUUUUGGUCCCACACCAUGUGCUUGACAGUUGUUUCGAUUUUAUCUCUUUUUAUUCCCCCUUUCUUUGUUUCUUUCUUUCUUUCUUUCUUUCAGAUCAGCAUUUUUGUCUUGGUGUGGGCAUAUAAUAUAUAGUACUUAGAUUUUGUUUAAUUUUCUAUUGUUAACUUGAUUAUUUGUGGCAUUAAUUUAAUAUGAUUUACAUCUUUUUGGUUGUAGUGUUGAUGAGGUUCCUUUAUAUGAUGACCCAAUUUUUAUUUUUUUUUGGUCUUCAUUUGUUUAAUUAUGAGAAAAAUAAAAUAGUAAUUAGAUUGGUCAAUUCGGGUAAACAAUUACUGAACUAAUGGAGUAUAUCUCAAUCUCACUCCCCUAGCAUAUCAUAAAUUUCUAAAAUUUGUCUUCAAUCGAUUAAACAUAAAUUUCAAAAUUCUUUAAAAAAAAAUUCGCCAGUACCAAUCCUUUAAAACAUCCAAAAGGGAAACAAAAAAAAAAAAAAAAAACAAACUCAUUUAUGGGCAUAUGGUAAAAGCAUAGUUUGAUUAAAGCUGGGACAUGACAUGUGGUAGACAUGUGGAUCGAUUGCAUAUGUUAUUUGAGUCGUUGUAUCAUCGGCUUCACAUUAUUAAUAAGUUUUUUUCCCCAAAUUCUUCUAAGAAUUAUGCGUAUAUUUUUUAGCAUAAUUGUUGGCUGAUCAGAAACUCUCGAAAGCUGGCCUAUAAUUUAGAUUAAACCAACAAUUAACAUGAGAAGUUAGGCUGGCAGGACAAUGGGAACCAACUCAAAUCUGGUUCCAUUAGCAAGCAGCAGCCAAAUUCCGAGAUUUUCAACAAUUUUGAACCAAUCCCAAAGGGAGAUUUAGUUGAGUAUACAAGAUUUCUCUUUGUCACUAGCCGUGCAUGCCGCUUCUUAAUAAUUAAGAUCUACAUAAAUGACUUUUAAUUUUGUAUGAUGAUCUCUUCCUCUUUGGAACAGAUACUCAAAUUUUAUUCAUCGUGACUGUGCUGAUCAAAACCGAUAUUAACCAAUCUUGUAUUCAAGUACACUCAACCAAUUCUGUUUUCUUACUGAAUUGUUUAUAAAUAAAGAACUAUAAUUACCUCCAAAAGCAAACAAAUAAUAAUCAAUAUGUUAUAUUUUUUUCAUUGAUUUUUUCCCCUUUAAAUAAUGGAGUCCAUAGUGUAGUUCUGACUGGCACAUGUACUGAGAUAUGAAAGUUAAUGUACAAAAUGGAAGAAUAAUAAUAUUCUGUCCGAAAUUAUUAAUUCUCAGGUGCAACCUAAAUUUAGAUGUAUCGUUAAAGGAGUAAAAAAAAAAAAAAGAGUCAAUCAUUGAUAGAGCUUCAAGAACUUUGAGAUUUUAUUAGUUUAUUUUAUUAAGAAAAUUAUCAUUUGUAUACCCUUAGUUUAUUUCAUUAUAAAAAAUACUACAAUACUUUGAGGGUGUAUCAAUCGUCCACCCAAAAUUGAUAAAAUGUAUCAACUGACUACCAAAUCGUUAGUUGCCGUUUAAAUAUGAUGACACUAGGAGGGCAAUUUGGUCUUUUCAUAUGAUACAAGUGAUAAUUUAAGGGUAUACAAGUGACAAAAAGAGAAAUUAAGGGUAUACAAGUGAUAAUUUUUAAGGGUAAAAUCAUCAAUUCACUGUAAUUCUGUUAACUUUCAAACGACAACUAAUGGUUUGGUGGUCGGCUGAUACAUUUUGUCAACUAAGGGUAGACGAUUGAUACACCCUCAAAGUGUUGUAGUAUUUUUAAUAAUAGAAUAAAUAUAGGGUAUACGAAUGAUAAUUUCCCAUUUUAUUAUUAGUAUUUGGCUUUUUUCGCUUGCACGAUAGUCGCAACAAAUAGAUUCUUGAAAAUCAUAUGAGAAAGACAAGCAGCCCAAAAAUAAAGUGCCUAUAUCUUUAAAUUUAUUAAUUUUUAUUUUUUAAAAAAAAAUUGCUCUACCUUUUUUUUUUCAAAACCUUAACUAAAAUACUAAAAUUGCAAAAAUUAGGGACCUGUUCAGGAUGAUAUUUUGAGUCCCAUUUUCAUUUUCAUUUACUAAAAAUAAGUUGAACAACUGUUCAGUGUAAUGUUUUAAUAAAAUGAAUUAUGAAAUAAAAAAUACAUAUUUUACUUUUGUUUACUCAAAAAGUUGAAGAACGACCUUUUUAUGGUUUUGUUGAAUUUCAAGAAUGGAAGUCAUUCUCUCAUCUUUAUCUUAGUUUAGCGUCCAUGGUAAUUAAAGUGAUUUUUGUAUCAAAUUGAUAAGAUUGAAACAUCCAAUGCUGCAAUGGCUUUUGUGAUUAUUUUAAAUUUGAAAUUAAAAUUUGAUAAAACUAAUAAGUUUUAUUGAGCAGAAGAUGAGUGGAAGGACUUUUUCUUUGAUUUUUAGCCGAACAAAAAGAUAAAAUAAAAUGUUCAAGGACUUAUAAAAAAAAAAAAAAAAGUCCUCAUAUUUUGCUUGUACCAAUGAAACAGUAGUUGUGAAAAAGGAUUAAAAUAAUUAAAAUAAUUUUUUCAAAUGAGAUUUUUCUCUAUACUUUAUCAUACCUUUUAUUUGAAAAUCUUUUUUCGUAAAUAAGUUUAUGAUUUCAUUUAUCAGAUGCUCUAUAAUAUAUUUUAUUUACCGAAAUUUUUUAUUAUUAAAUGUAAUGAAGAAUUUAAUUUUUUUAUAAGUGUUUACUGUGUGAUACCAAAAAAUAAAUUGACUCUAUAUAAUUCAUUGACAUAAAUAUAAACUAUAUGUUUAAGGUAAAAAAAAAGUUUCAAUCCAAUGCUAUCGAACAAAUAUUACAGUUUUUAUAUUUAAAAUAUAAGUUUCAAAAACUCAUACCGAACACAUACUUAUAGUCUUAUAUUUAGAAUACUGGUUUCAAAAACAUCAUUUUGAUUUUUAUUUUUGUUCUAUAAAAACAUCGAUUGACAAUAACAAAGACAAAUAAUUGAAAAUUUUAAUAAGAAUUAAUCUAACUACUCUCUUUAAAAGGAAAAAAAAUAUCUAACUACACUCACUUUCUAAAAAUAUAAAUACAUAUAAUUACACUAAAACCCGUAUAAAUUUUUAUUUUAUCAAGUAAUUAUGUGAUUAAUAUUUAUUUAUAAAAUAAAUAUUAAUUUUAUAAUCUCAACUCAAUGGUCAUAUCAAGAGCAUAUUUAAUUAUUUUAUUUUUAAUCUACAAUUGAGACGUCACACCCUAGAGUUAAAGCGGCUUUUAUCAUUUUGUUUUUUUUUAUUUAAUUUCUAUUUUUAAAAUAAUUUUAGACCCUGUGAGCAUCCAACGAAUGAUUUGCCAGUUUGGAGGAGUCCAUGCAUAUGGGGGCCCACUAGUCGUUUGACGAUUGAUUACGUCACGUGAUUCCUGCCACAUACGAUUUUUAUUGAUUAUCCACUCUUUACCCCUUUUUUUUAUUUAAUAAAUAAUCCUCUUUACCCAACUAGUCAGGCUUUUCUCGAGUGGCCAACGGUUCAAGCUUAGGGAUGGUAAUUGUACUCGUAAAUCUGUAAAUUUGUCUAAAUUCAUCUGUCAAAAUUCGUCCGUUGUGGGUAAUUUUAUUAGUUGCGGGCGGGUUUAAUAUUAUAAAUUAAAACCCGCACAUGAAUGGGGGUGGGUUUGAUAUUAAUCUUAUAUCCGGUGGAUACCCGCAUGGAUAUCCAUUAAACCCGCAAUAUUUUUUUCAAAUAUUUUUAAUUUAAUUUAAAUCUAAAAAUGUAUAAAGAAAAUAAUGUCAUUAAUUAAAUUACCAAAUAACCAAAGGCUCAAAGUUGUGUAUGUGUGUAUGUGUGUAUGUGGCCUAUAUCAUAUUCUAAAAUCAUAAUCUAAAGAAAACUAAAGGCAUUUUCCUUCGAAUUAAUAUUUGAAAAUAUUAAUCUUAAUUAUUAUUAUAGGCAUUGUGUUGGAUGGGUGCUUAUGGUGGUGAAUAAAAUGAAUAUCUUCUCUUGGAGCUUGUUUUAAAUGAUAAUAUGAAAUGUAAUUAUUAUUUUUAGAUAUUAGUUUGUGUUUUUUAAAUGGAUUUGUGUAAUUUAUACUUAAAUUUGAGAAUUUAUGUUGAAUUGAUGUGGAAAUUUUAAUUUUUCAUUUACAUUAUUUAAAUAUAAAAUUGAGUAUGUUAUAUGGAAUUUGAGGUUAUUAUUAUAAAUUUAUAUAUUAAACAUUUGUGAUUUUAAAUACGGAAACCCGCAAAAAAUCCGCCGGAUACCAUUGCGGGUUUGGUAAUUGUUAAAACCCGCUGCGGGUGGGUUUUUGUAAAAAAAUUAAAACCCGCUGCGGGUUACCGGUGGGUUUGGUAGUUUAAAUUUUGUGCGGGUUUGGGUUUGGUAAUGGCAAACCCGCUACGGGCAGUGCCCAUUGCCAUCCCUAUUCAAGCCCCGGGAUGUAUAUAGAGAUUUUCUUUUAAUUAUGCUAUAUAAUUAAGUGAAUGCUGUGUUUUAUCUUUUGAAAAAUGAGUAGAAUAAAUAUUCUUUGAAUAGUGAUAAAUUAAUUUCAAUAAUUGACUGAUUGUAAAUAUUAGUUGUAAUUUCAUACAAUAUGAGUUGUAAUUUGAGUGUUAAUAUCAUGUAAUUAAAAAUAAAAAAUAAUCUUCUUUACUCAUUUCACUUCCAAUUUCAUGUUGAUGCCCUUACAUUAUUGAUUUAUCUAUAUUUUUUUUAUUUUACACAUUUUUUUUGGACUCUUCCUUUUGCUUUUUCUUUUUCCUCAGCUAUAAUGUUCCCAAAUUUAAUAGAGAAACAAAGCUAUAAAUGAUCAAUUUAUUAGUUUGAUAAUUUACAAACUCGCAAUAGAUGAUACUCAUUUUCAUCCCUAGAUGAAUGCAACAUGGUCGCGGACAGAAUACAUCGAGGCUCGGAAAGAACGUUGGCCUAAGGCAUUUUUAGAAAGAUUAGGGAUUUAACUGAAAUUCAAUUCCUUUAAAAUGUGAAGUUUACGUUUUGCACCCUUUGAAUUUACAGUUUCUUAUUUAUGGCAUCUCAAUUUGGCUUCUCUCGAAUAUGGUCCACGUUAAACCAAAAUUAUAAUUGCACCACUAAAUGUGAUAGAGAUGAAAAAAUAUUUGAAGUGGAAAGUUUGUGAGUUUCUAUAUUUUUUUAAGGAUAUAUUUUAAGUAUUAUAUAGAUAAAAAUUAACUAUCUACCUAAGUAAUCAAGCGAGCAAUUUACACUUCAGACCUCUUUUACAUCAACGAUUUAUGUUUGGCAGACUCAAUUUGUCAAUAACUAGAUAUAUGUUAUUACAGACUCAAUUUGGGGCAUAUUCUAGGGUAAGGAAACUGAAAAUACCUAUUUUCGAAGUUGAGGAUGCCUAUGAAUGAGUGUAUAGGGUAGAGCGCUAUUUCUCCAUCAAUGGACUCUAAGAAAGGGAAAAAUUGAUGGCGGCGGCGUUAUGUUUGGAGGGAAAGGCCCUUGUGCGGUUUCAAUGGCGAGAACAACGACAUCGUUAAGGUCAUGAGGUGAGUCUAAGGAUUGGCUAUUGGAUAGGUUUCGGGCCACUCAAGAAGGAGAUUUGUAUGAAUAGUUUUUUACUCUGACCUAGGAUAGAACGGUUAUAGUUUGAGUUGCUAUCAGGGCGUCGAAGGGGAAUUCCAUAGGCGGUAUUGGAAGGGAAUUUUAUGAAGGGACUGAAGUCAGAAAUCCGAGCCUUACUAUGCUUGAUAAGGCCGAGAGGGUUAGGGGAGUCAAUGGAGUUGGCACAAAUGGCUAAGGAUAAGAACACAAUAGAACAGGUUAAUAGGAGCAAUUCAAUCGAUUUUUCAUACCAAAACAGCAUGCCAUUGGUAGGAUAGAAAACCCAGACUUUAGGGUUUAAACGAGAGUUCCAAAGUACACCACUGGGAGGCCAGAAAAUGCAAAUGGUGGAUUUAAAGAGAGAUUCCCAAAGGGAUCGGGAUAGUGGGGCACGACAUGGGGUGACUUUCAAACGUCUCAUGGAGACAGAGAUUCAGGAUAAGAGGGUGAAGGGGUUGUGUUUUUGAUGUAAUGAGAAAUUUUCACGAGGGCAUCGAUGUAAGGAUAAAUCACUACAAGUCCUAACUGUGUGUGAUGAGGAAGAAGGCCGGGAAGAAGCCGAGGAAGAAGACGCAGUAGUUUCCAAGAUUUCACCUUGAGGACGAGGUGUCUUUUUGAGAGGGGAGUAAUGUUAGACCAAAGAAAACUAAGGUGCAAUUACAAGGAGGCAGGGGCACUUUAGUAAUCUUAAGGGCAGAGACAGUUUAAUAAUUUUAUUAUUAAUUAGGGUUCAGGUAUAAAUAAGAGAUUAUGGAGUCACUUAAGAUUUAUGUUGGGUUUUGUCUAGUGUUAAGAAUAAUUAAGAGUUUGGGAGAGAUUGACUUACCUCUUGUAGGUCAAGAUUGUUAUUUAUUUUUAUCAAUCAAUAAAAAAUCAACCCUAAUUUAACUCUAAGUCAUAUCAUAACGGAAUUUGUGUUAUUGACCUCUUCUUUUUUCCCUUUUCCUUCUUCUUGUAACAACUUCUUUACGAAACAUGUCUCUGCGUCUGGCUCUUGUCUUACUAUGAACCUGCAGUGGAGUACUUGGCAACUAAUAGAACCCUACCACGACUAAUAGAUGUUGUUAAGAGUUCCACAAAGGAGAAUGUGAGAUCUGGUUUCUUGGUAGUAUUUAAUGUUAGCAAAGGCUCACUGCUGCACAAGAUGAGUGUCAUCCACUUGAAUACUAUUAACUUGUUAUACAUACGUAUAUUUAAAUAUAUUUAUAUUGGCUUGUGGUAGAAAUACGCUAUUUUCUUAUCCAAAAGAAUACGUUCUUUUGUUCAUAUGGUUAUUAAGAUAGGCAUAUCCUGCUAGGUUGUCAGGGUGGUGGUCUUGAUCCUUAGAAACUUGCUUCCCAAAGGUAAUUUUGCUGCUCAGAUGAUAGACCUUGGACUACCUCAAGUUGUUCAAAGUUUAAAAGCACAAGCAUGGAGUGAUGAGGUAAGAGAAGUUGCUCGCUGUUUAGUUUUUCUUUUUCGGCUGAUUGCAUAAUUAUUUAGUUAAUAGAUCGAGUAAAAUUAAGGGAGUUGAUGGCGCUGUUUGCUACUGAUUGGUGCAUUUGGUGAUCAUUUUAUAUGGAUUUAAAAUUUACUUCAGCUUCUGUGAAGUAUGGUGUGGUAGAAUAGUCAGUUGCUUGUGUGAUGACAAAAACUACUGUUAUUUUGUUCAUUAUAUGAAUAUUAGUGUUAUUUUGGUGAUAAUUGAUGAUAGAAGGUAUGCUUAUCAGAGUCUUUUUACCCCAUACUUGGGAUCGGCUAGUCAAUUAUGAUUAUGAUACCGUUACACCCUAUUAUUCCUUUGUUCAGCAUGGAAUAAUGUUGUUUCCAUCUACACUUUGAUUGAAGCUCUGGCUGGCAGAAAGUGCUGACUACUAUUGUACGGACCUACACUAUCUUUGACAACUUGAGACAUUUAUCCUACGACAAUGUUACCUAUAAUGGCUGACAAAUGCCUGCUUUAUUUAAUUCUCAAGCACCUGUCAUCUGAGCAAUGUUAAAUCAAUUAAUUGUGCCUUUUUUAUUACCACAUAUUUUCUUUGGCCUUGAACCAUCCAAUUUUGCCAAGGCUCGACUCUUUUUCCUCAUGAUGAACUGAAGCUGUAUAUUGCUUUUGUGGAAUCUUGGCAUCCAACACUAAAUUAAGAUUUCAGCCUUCAAACUUAUAAUGCAAGAUAUUAGAUUGUGUUUGGGUGGCUCCUGAAUAGUGCCAAAAAGAAUGAGUCUUGGCCACCAUUGCUGAAUUUUGUUUAACCUUUAACACAAUGAUGACUUCAUCUUGCUACAUUUACAUAUAAUAGAUUUCAUUAUCUUCUUAGGAUUUACUGGAGGGUCUGAAUCAACUGGAAGAAGGUUUGAAGGAUAAUACUAAGAGAUUGAGUUCUUUGGACAAGUACAUGCAAGAAGUCCUCCUUGGCCAUCUCGACUGGUCCCCCAUGCACAAAGAUCCCCUAUUCUGGCGUGAUAAUAUCACAAACUUCGAAGAAAAUGAUUUCCAGGUAUUUCUUUUCCCCAUGGACGGUGUUUCUAGUUUUUAUUUUCAUUUUUUCUGCCUUAACUUCACUGAAUGACUCCUGCUAAUAUCUGUAUCGUCUCGUUCAGCAUCAUUUUGUAACUAAUGGAUAAUCUUCUCUCACAGAUUCUAAGGGUCCUCUUAACAAUUUUGGAUACAUCCAGUGAUCCACGAGCUCUUGCUGUCGCUUGCUUUGAUCUCUCACAGUUUAUCCAGUACCAUCCAGCUGGGCGGGUCAUUGUGACGGACCUCAAAGCCAAGGAACGGGUGAUGAAAUUGAUGAACCAUGAGAACACCGAGGUUACCAAGAGCGCCUUACUCUGCAUCCAAAGGCUUUUCCUAGGCGCAAAGUACGCGAGCUUUUUGCAGGCCUGAAUUCUCUUUCUAUGGGGUCCCGUAUUGUUUACAAAGGAAAUGCUUGUAAUGAUUUGAUUCCAGUUUGGCUGUGGUUAGGUUGUUUAUUUAUUUAUCAAUCAUUGGAGGAAUUUAUGAAUCAGGGGAACUCGUCUGUUGGAUUCUUUUAAGUACUGUGAAGAAUUAGUUGAUUUUU
This 27854-nucleotide long non-coding RNA is filed under the name Citrus x clementina. RNAcentral's name for it is "Citrus clementina (C. clementina) long non-coding RNA (CCLE_LNC003575)". The record is from RNAcentral. Lineage: Eukaryota; Viridiplantae; Streptophyta; Magnoliopsida; Sapindales; Rutaceae.